Platichthys flesus (European flounder) is the source of this 594-nucleotide long non-coding RNA. RefSeq lists it as uncharacterized. The record is from RefSeq and is a predicted model, not a curated record. The transcript has 2 exons. NCBI's taxonomy places the organism in Eukaryota, Metazoa, Chordata, Actinopteri, Pleuronectiformes, Pleuronectidae.
AUGAUCUUAAGUGUACUGCUGCCUUCUUUCGGAGAAACCGGGACUGUACGCGAUGUACAGCCUUAAACACACACACAGAGUGAGAGAUAAACACACUCUCCCUCUAGUGUUGACCUCUAUAUCUACCAUACAUGUCAUGUAAAAAGAUCCUGGAAUUGAGAGACUCCACCUGCAGGUCAGCGGGCGGAGAGGAUGACGACAGUGUAAAGCAAAGGCAGCACAUCGUAGAAAAGGGGACAGAGGCUUGAGUAACAGUGGGUGGUGGAUGAGGACUAUGAGGGUUCUGGAUGAAUCAGUAGAGACCCACCUAUCACACCCUGCAGUGGAUAAACAAGAGGAUUACCUUCUCUUUUUAUCUGCCCAAGGUGAUCCUCCCACGAGAGGAUGAAGCAGCCACUCAACUCUCUGUCAAAUGUCCACGGAGGAUACUUUGAUUGCAAAGACUGGCCAUUUAUAUUUAUGAGUCUGUGUGUGUGGGUUUUUUCUGCUGAAUGUAACAAGAAAAAAAAAAUGAUGGUAGUGACAGAAUUAUUGUAUUGACAAAGAAUAGUCAACAGUUUUUAUUCUGGAAUAAAUCGCCCUGAUGCCUUUGUC